GCAAGAAGCCCUGACCUUAUGGGACGGGUGCACUUAUUAGAGCAAACCAAUCCCAAUUCGUUGGGUACACAUUGGUGAAUCUGAAUAACUGAGCGGAUCGCACUGGUCUUUGCACCGGCGACAUAUCCUUCAAGUGUCUGCCUUAUCAACUUUCGAUGGUAGUUUAUAUGCCUACCAUGGUUGUAACGGGUAACGGAAAAUCAGGGUUUGAUUCCGGAGAGGGCGCCUGAGAAAUGGCGACCACUUCUAAGGAAGGCAGCAGGCGCGUAACUUACCCACUCUCAGAUUGAGGAGGUAGUGACGAAAAAUAUCGAGUUGGCGGUUUCUGACUGCCAGCAUCGGAAUGAGAACAAUCUAAAUCUGUUAUCGAGCACCUAGCAGAGGGCAAGUCUGGUGCCAGCAGCCGCGGUAAUUCCAGCUCUGCAAGUGUAUAUCAAUGUUGCUGUGGUUAAAAAGCUCGUAGUUGGAUCUGCGUGACCAGGGUCCGGUCCGGCCUCCGUGUCGUGUACUGGUUACCCGUCACUUACCACUGUUGGUUUUGCCCUGAUGCCCUUAACCGGGUGUCAGUGGCUGGCUAGCGAGUUUACUUUGAAAAAAUUAGAGUGCUCAAAACAGGCGCUUUGCCUGAAUACUUCUGCAUGGAAUAAUGGAAAAGGACCUCGGUUCUGUUUGUUGGUUUUGGAGCAUGAGGUAAUGAUUAAGAGGAACAGACGGGGGCAUUCGUAUUCCAACGUUAGAGGUGAAAUUCUUGGAUCGUUGGAAGACGAACUACUGCGAAGGCAUUUGCCAAGAAUGUUUUCAUUAAUCAAGAACGAAAGUUAGAGGUUCGAAGGCGAUCAGAUACCGCCCU
This 850-nucleotide ribosomal RNA is filed under the name Metasphaerolaimus constrictus. RNAcentral describes it as "SSU rRNA". It matches the Rfam family "Eukaryotic small subunit ribosomal RNA", at positions 173 to 1021 of the family's 1831-position model. Lineage: Eukaryota; Metazoa; Nematoda; Chromadorea; Monhysterida; Sphaerolaimidae. The record is from RNAcentral.